UACGUAGGGUGCAAGCGUUAAUCGGAAUUACUGGGCGUAAAGCGUGCGCAGGCGGUUUUGUAAGUCUGUCGUGAAAGCCCCGGGCUCAACCUGGGAAUGGCGAUGGAGACUGCAAGGCUAGAGUGUGUCAGAGGGGGGUAGAAUUCCACGUAUAGCAGUGAAAUGCGUAGAUAUGUGGAGGAACACCGAUGGCGAAGGCAGCCCCCUGGGAUAACACUGACGCUCAUGCACGAAAGCGUGGGGAGCAAACAGG
Molecule: ribosomal RNA, 253 nt
Filed under: uncultured bacterium
Lineage: Bacteria
Description: partial 16S ribosomal RNA
Rfam family: Bacterial small subunit ribosomal RNA
Source: RNAcentral